CCCGUUGGGGGGGUUGAGACAUCUUGUUUGUUGAUCUAAGCUCCUAAACAAAGUCUCACUCCUUUCAGUCUGCUUUAACUGUAAUAGGACUACAAAACUGAUGAAUCUUUCCUACAUUGGCCCCUAUAGUAGUGGCUGUACUUUGGGAAAACCAAAACAAGGGAGAAUUUUUAUCUCGGGACACACCUGGAAAACUCUGAUACAAAAACAAGUGAAAUCAGUAUGUAAGCUUUUGCCAAAUGUUAAGCGGGCUGCUGGCAGUGAGGAGGAAAGCAGCAGUUCAGAGGAGCCCUCCACUAAUGAACAGACCACCCAUGUCUGUAAAAGUCCCCUGUGGGAGCUGGCUCAUGCCAGGUGCGCACCCUGUCACAACAGUGAACUUAGCUGUUUUCUCUCCUGAUGGACAAUGCCAAGCCUGGAUAGAAACCCCGUGCGCAAAUGUACAAUGAGAAGGUGGAGGACUGCUGGAAAAGGAGGAGCAACAGUUCUGCCUUGAGGCCUGCAGCUGGAUAUCCCUCGGUGGAGGAUGUAACGCGCAGCACGUGAGUUGCCACAGAUUUCGCCCUUGUGCUGCGUCAGGCUCAGUGGGUACGUGUGAACUAUUAAUAGUCUCUGUUCAGUCGGUCACAGGGAGGAAGCGAGCCUCAGUGUCGCUGGCCUCCCCAGCCUUGAUUGCUCGGCGUGUGGAGCAGCCCCAGGUGUGCAGUGCCGCGCGCCAGCUGCCCCCGUAAAGGGGUGGGUGUGGUGACACUGUCCUGUCCCUGAAGCAAUAGGAGCAAUGGUAUUAGCCGCUCUGAGUCUGAGAUCUCCCAAGGUUUCUGCCUCCUCUCUCCUCCCCAGGUAACUUACCCCCAGAACCAUUGCAUCUGUGUCACCCGCACUGACAGCGUUUCUUCCGGGACUGUAAGUAGCUUCCAGAGUUACGGCACAAGUGAUUAGAGGUGCACCUCCCUUCUCCCCCUUCUCAUUUUAAGAUCAGUGUGUUGCUCCCAGCUAGUCCAAGAACAAGCGUUGGAGGGUGUUCCUGAACUUAGCUGGAAGUGCCUGGGGCUCUCACCCAAGGCUGUGGCACCAUCCUGUCCUGGAACCAAUAUUUUAUUCGUGAAGUCUAAUGAGCAUUGGUGGGAAUUUUGUUUGGUUUUUAUAAGAAGUAUUUUACAUAUGGAUUUUUUUAGACUGUUUAUAAUCUCCUUGAAAACCUGAAAUAAUAGAAUUGUUCCCCCAGCAAUAGUUCUUCUCCACUGUGUGCACAUGCUGAUUUGUUACUAAAAGGUUUCUUGCAAGUACUUAGUUGUUCUACAGAGUUGUUGUUUUUUGGGGUAUGUGGUAGCAUUGGGGACCACAUGAGGAAUGACUCUGCAAACAAAGAAUGGUCAAAUUUGGGCCUCAUCUUGUGUCCCCUUCUAGUUACAUAUGAAAGAGUUCCCUGUGUAGAUUCUCUAUAGGCUGGCUGAAUGCUGUUCUGAACAUGCCAUGUACAGGUAUUUGUGGAUAAAGUGUUUGUUCUUGUGUCACUCUUGAGAGCAUGGAUGGAUUAUUGUAAAAUAGGAAGGAGGUGGCAGUGCUGCUGUUAGCAUUGCUUCAGGUCUUCGAGGAUGUGUAGUAACUUGCAUUGUUUAAAAAAAAAAAAGGAAAAAAAAAAUCCAAAAUUGACUUCUAGCCAUAAUGGUUUUUCCAAGGAAAAUGGACAGAACUCUGUUACUUUUCAGUGUCCUUCAUCUUGUUACUGAAGGCAUGAACAAGUGAUGAUCAAUCUGAAGGCUUUCAGAGUUGCUUUGAAUUGAAUGAUGUGGAGGUAAGAUUAGGACACAGCUUUUCCUUUGUCCUUGGCCUUUGUAUUAAAGGGCAAAAGAGGGUCAGGAGUACUUUCCUGUUGUCUUGGUCUGAUACGUAUUAAGCCUUGAGGCUUUGAUUACUGACAUUUACUAUUAAAAAGGAUAGAAAGGCUGGCUGGAUCCCAAAAUGCCAGCCCAAAGAAUAUUGGACACAUUGGUAAUGAGACUGGCUCUGUUGUGGUCAGACUGAAUAUAUGGAAGUGCAAUGAUUUAGCCACCGGUUCUUAUACUGUUGUGUGCGGUGGCAGCAUCAGAACUAGCAAAGAAAUUGAUGCACCAAUCCAGGAACAGUUGUUGUCAGAUCUGGAAUGUAUUUGAUGGUAAGACAUUAAAAUUCCCUUGUGGAGCUUGCCCCAUCAUGUUCUCUGCGAGCAGAGACCUAAGUCACUAUGGUUCAGCAAAUUUCAACUGUAAUGUUCUCUAAUGCACUAUAGCACAGUUGGUGUACUCAAAAGAAGCUUCUCUUAUUAAUUCAGGUGCCUGGCACUCACUAGUUGGCACGCUUCUGUCAAGGCUAUAGACAACCAUUGUGCACCUUGUACAAGUAUUACUUUUAAAAAGAUGAAAAAUCAAUUGGUAUUUUCAUGGGGGCAUGAAAUAGCCAUCAAAAACUAAAGAGAUGAGUUUGCACUCCUAAAGAAAAUGUAAGUACUUCAACGUCUAGAUAAUUUUUAAUUGUAUUUCCGCCUAGAGCCAAGGUAUUAAAUACCUUGUCACUUGAGGAUUUUAAAAGUUGUGUUGGGAAAUGAGUUCUUCACCCAGCUGUAAGAAAUUCAGCUGGCCCAAGACUAACUUCAAGAUUAAAAAAAAAUAAAAAAUCAUGUUUGUAAUACA
Molecule: long non-coding RNA, 2669 nt
Organism: Apteryx owenii (little spotted kiwi)
Lineage: Eukaryota; Metazoa; Chordata; Aves; Apterygiformes; Apterygidae
Source: Ensembl